This 1141-nucleotide long non-coding RNA is filed under the name Piliocolobus tephrosceles (Ugandan red Colobus). RNAcentral describes it as "lncRNA (ENSPTEG00000011189.1)". Lineage: Eukaryota; Metazoa; Chordata; Mammalia; Primates; Cercopithecidae. The record is from RNAcentral.
AAAAAAAAAAAAAAAUGAACGGAGAAAUUAGUACAAAUAUUGCAGAAAACAUGAGCGUGGAAAAAAAUGUAAACAAUAAUAGUAUUGAAUAUAACCAUAUUUUUGAUAAUAGUUUGAAUAAUAAUUUGGAUUAUAAUUUGAACGACAGUUCAAACGACAGCUUUAGAAAAAAUUCGAACAAAAGUUUCAGCAGAAGUUCGAGCAAAAAUUCCAGCAGAAGUUCGAGCAAAAAUUCCAGCAGAAGUUCGAGCAAAAGUUCGAGCAAAAGUUCGAACAAAAAUUUACAUAAAAAAUUUAACGAAAACGUGUACGAGAAUUUUAGUUCUAGCAUUCAUACUAAUAUUAGUAUAAAUGACAAAAAUAAAUUGAAUACAGAUAAUGAAGGUAAUUGCAAUAGCAUAAACGUUGUGAGUAAAGUAGAGCAACAUGAUGUUAAUAAUGGUAUUAAUGAAACUGAUAGUAAUGAAAAUAAUAAAAGAAGUGAUGACACUAAUAAUAACAAUCUUGACGGUAGUAAAGAAAAUGAAAUUAAUGAAAAGAACAAUUUCGAAAAUGAUGAAGGAAUACAAUUAGCAGUAAAAAUUGCUUUGCAAAUUUUAUUAAAAAAACAACCAGUUCCUAUUAGAAGGGAUGAUUUAUUUAACAUUCUAAAUAUGUUUGUACCAAAUAGUAAUAGUAAUUUAAAAAGAAAAAUAGUUAUAGAGCUUUUGGAUAAACAUGUUAAUAAUAUUUUAGCAUUAAAUUUAUUAACUUUGCGUACUAAAACAAAAACAGAAUAUGUACUAUCACAACAUGUUACUUAUAAAGAACACAACAAUUUAUUGCUAUCAAAUUUUGAUCAUAAUAUAAGAGGAUUUUUAAUUUUUCUUAUUCCUUUUUUUAAAGCUUUUCAUAAUAAACUACCAUUCAAUUAUUUAUUAUAUGUAAUGAAUACUGUCGGGCACAAAAUUAAUAAAACAAAAGAAGAAGUAAUAAGCACAUUGAAAUCACCAUUAGUUUUCGCAAAUAUUGUGAAUAAUAUAAACUUAAAAAAAGAACUUCUCGACCCAUUAGAUUAUUUAAUUUAUUGUAAAAGAUUAUCUUAUAUAGAUUUUAUGUUUGAUCAAUCUGAUAUUAAUAAUAGUAAUAAUAAUAGUAAUAA